Molecule: ribosomal RNA, 501 nt
Filed under: uncultured bacterium
Lineage: Bacteria
Description: partial 16S ribosomal RNA
Rfam family: Bacterial small subunit ribosomal RNA
Source: RNAcentral
AUUGAACGCUGGCGGCAGGCUUAACACAUGCAAGUCGAGCGGGGGAAGGUAGCUUGCUACCGGACCUAGCGGCGGACGGGUGAGUAAUGCUUAGGAAUCUGCCUAUUAGUGGGGGACAACAUCUCGAAAGGGAUGCUAAUACCGCAUACGUCCUACGGGAGAAAGCAGGGGAUCUUCGGACCUUGCGCUAAUAGAUGAGCCUAAGUCGGAUUAGCUAGUUGGGGGGGUAAAGGCCUACCAAGGCGACGAUCUGUAGCGGGUCUGAGAGGAUGAUCCGCCACACUGGGACUGAGACACGGCCCAGACUCCUACGGGAGGCAGCAGUGGGGAAUAUUGGACAAUGGGGGGAACCCUGAUUCAGCCAUGCCGCGUGUGUGAAGAAGGCCUUAUGGUUGUAAAGCACUUUAAGCGAGGAGGAGGCUACUCUAGUUAAUACCUAGGGAUAGUGGACGUUACUCGCAGAAUAAGCACCGGCUAACUCUGUGCCAGCCGCCGCAGUAA